This 304-nucleotide ribosomal RNA is filed under the name uncultured Acinetobacter sp. RNAcentral describes it as "bacterial SSU rRNA". It matches the Rfam family "Bacterial small subunit ribosomal RNA", at positions 30 to 334 of the family's 1533-position model. Lineage: Bacteria; Pseudomonadati; Pseudomonadota; Gammaproteobacteria; Moraxellales; Moraxellaceae. The record is from RNAcentral.
AUUGAACGCUGGCGGCAGGCUUAACACAUGCAAGUCGAGCGGGGAUUGGGUGCUUGCACCUAAUCUUAGCGGCGGACGGGUGAGUAAUGCUUAGGAAUCUGCCAUUUAGUGGGGGACAACAUUCCGAAAGGGAUGCUAAUACCGCAUACGUCCUACGGGGGAAAGCAGGGGAUCUUCGGACCUUGCGCUAAAUGAUGAGCCUAAGUCGGAUUAGCUAGUUGGUGGGGUAAAGGCCUACCAAGGCGACGAUCUGUAGCGGGUCUGAGAGGAUGAUCCGCCACACUGGGACUGAGACACGGCCCAG